Molecule: ribosomal RNA, 253 nt
Filed under: uncultured bacterium
Lineage: Bacteria
Description: partial 16S ribosomal RNA
Rfam family: Bacterial small subunit ribosomal RNA
Source: RNAcentral
UACAGAGGGUGCGAGCGUUGUCCGGAAUCACUGGGCGUAAAGGGCGCGUAGGUGGUUUGGGAAGCGUGUGGUGAAAGCCCGGGGCUCAACCCCGGGUCGGCCAUGCGAACUGCCCGACUGGAGCACGGUAGAGGCCAAUGGAAUUCCGGGUGUAGCGGUGGAAUGCGUAGAGAUCCGGAAGAACACCGGUGGCGAAGGCGGUUGGCUGGGCCGUGGCUGACACUGAUGCGCGACAGCGUGGGGAGCAAACAGG